This 440-nucleotide ribosomal RNA is filed under the name uncultured bacterium. RNAcentral's name for it is "partial 16S ribosomal RNA". It matches the Rfam family "Bacterial small subunit ribosomal RNA", at positions 338 to 795 of the family's 1533-position model. The record is from RNAcentral.
CCUACGGGUGGCAGCAGUGGGGGAUAUUGCACAAUGGGGGGAACCCUGAUGCAGCGACGCCGCGUGGGUGAAGAAGCGCCUCGGCGCGUAAAGCCCUGUCAGCAGGGACGAAAAUGACGGUACCUGAUGAAGAAGCCCCGGCUAACUACGUCCCAGCAGCCGCGGUAAUACAUAGGGGGCAAGCGUUAUCCGGCUUUACUGGGUGGAAAGGGGGCGGAGACGGCGAUGCAAGCCAGGAGUGAAAGCCCGGGGCCCAACCCCGGGACUGCUCUUGGAACUGCGUGGCUGGAGUGCAGGAGGGGCAGGCGGAAUUCCUGGUGUAGCGGUGAAAUGCGUAGAUAUCAGGAGGAACACCGGUGGCGAAGGCGGCCUGCUGGACUGCAACUGACGUUGAGGCCCGAAAGCGUGGGGAGCAAACAGGAUUAGAUACCCGGGUAGUC